CGCGGGAUGGAGCAGCCUGGUAGCUCGUCGGGCUCAUAACCCGANNUCAUAACCCGAAGGUCGUCGGUUCAAAUCCGGCUCCCGCAACCA
RNAcentral lists this transfer RNA (90 nucleotides) under Pseudomonas monteilii. Its description in RNAcentral is "tRNA-Met". It matches the Rfam family "tRNA". From Rfam's summary of the family: Transfer RNA (tRNA) molecules are approximately 80 nucleotides in length. Their secondary structure includes four short double-helical elements and three loops (D, anti-codon, and T loops). Further hydrogen bonds mediate the characteristic L-shaped molecular structure. tRNAs have two regions of fundamental functional importance: the anti-codon, which is responsible for specific mRNA codon recognition, and the 3' end, to which the tRNAs corresponding amino acid is attached (by aminoacyl-tRNA synthetases). tRNAs cope with the degeneracy of the genetic code in two manners: having more than one tRNA (with a specific anti-codon) for a particular amino acid; and 'wobble' base-pairing, i.e. permitting non-standard base-pairing at the 3rd anti-codon position. Lineage: Bacteria; Pseudomonadati; Pseudomonadota; Gammaproteobacteria; Pseudomonadales; Pseudomonadaceae. The record is from RNAcentral.